AAAAAAUUAGUUAAAUAAUAACAUUAGCAUGUCAAUCUAAAAUUAUCUAUUUUUGAUAUUUUUUA
Molecule: transfer RNA, 65 nt
Filed under: Dialysis sp. KW-2016
Lineage: Eukaryota; Metazoa; Arthropoda; Insecta; Diptera; Xylophagidae
Description: tRNA-Asp
Source: RNAcentral